This 465-nucleotide ribosomal RNA is filed under the name uncultured bacterium. Its description in RNAcentral is "partial 16S ribosomal RNA". It matches the Rfam family "Bacterial small subunit ribosomal RNA", at positions 28 to 507 of the family's 1533-position model. The record is from RNAcentral.
GACGAACGCUGGCGGCGUGCUUAACACAUGCAAGUCGAACGGAAAGGCCCCUUCGGGGGUACUCGAGUGGCGAACGGGUGAGUAACACGUGAGUAACCUGCCCUUGACUUCGGGAUAACUUCAGGAAACUGGGGCUAAUACCGGAUAGGAAUCCUUGCUGCAUGGUGGGGGUUGGAAAGCUUCGGCGGUUUUGGAUGGACUCGCGGCUUAUCAGCUUGUUGGUGGGGUAGUGGCUUACCAAGGCUUUGACGGGUAGCCGGCCUGGGAGGGCGACCGGCCACAUUGGGACUGAGAGACGGCCCAGACUCCUACGGGAGGCAGCAGUGGGGAAUAUUGCCCAAUGGGCGGAAGCCUGAUGCAGCAACGCCGCGUGCGGGAUGACGGCCUUCGGGUUGUAAACCGCUUUCAGCAGGGGCGAAGCUUGUGGUGACGGUACCUGCAGAAGAAGCACCGGCUAACUACGUG